UACGUAGGGUGCGAGCGUUAAUCGGAAUUACUGGGCGUAAAGCGUGCGCAGGCGGUUGUGUAAGACAGGUGUGAAAUCCCCGGGCUUAACCUGGGAACUGCGCUUGUGACUGCACGGCUAGAGUAUGGCAGAGGGGGGUGGAAUUCCACGUGUAGCAGUGAAAUGCGUAGAGAUGUGGAGGAACACCGAUGGCGAAGGCAGCCCCCUGGGCCAAUACUGACGCUCAUGCACGAAAGCGUGGGGAGCAAACAGGAUUAGAUACCCUGGUAGUCCACGCCCUAAACGAUGUCGACUAGGUGUUCGGUGAGGAGACUCAUUGAGUACCGCAGCUAACGCGUGAAGUCGACCGCCUGGGGAGUACGGUCGCAAGAUUA
Molecule: ribosomal RNA, 374 nt
Filed under: uncultured bacterium
Lineage: Bacteria
Description: bacterial SSU rRNA
Rfam family: Bacterial small subunit ribosomal RNA
Source: RNAcentral